This 2929-nucleotide ribosomal RNA is filed under the name Bacillus cereus. RNAcentral's name for it is "23S ribosomal RNA". It matches the Rfam family "Bacterial large subunit ribosomal RNA". Lineage: Bacteria; Bacillati; Bacillota; Bacilli; Caryophanales; Bacillaceae. The record is from RNAcentral.
UUUGGUUAAGUUAGAAAGGGCGCACGGUGGAUGCCUUGACACUAGGAGUCGAUGAAGGACGGGACUAACGCCGAUAUGCUUCGGGGAGCUGUAAGUAAGCUUUGAUCCGAAGAUUUCCGAAUGGGGAAACCCACCAUACGUAAUGGUAUGGUAUCCUUAUCUGAAUACAUAGGGUAAGGAAGACAGACCCAGGGAACUGAAACAUCUAAGUACCUGGAGGAAGAGAAAGCAAAUGCGAUUUCCUGAGUAGCGGCGAGCGAAACGGAACAUAGCCCAAACCAAGAGGCUUGCCUCUUGGGGUUGUAGGACAUUCUAUACGGAGUUACAAAGGAACGAGGUAGACGAAGCGACCUGGAAAGGUCCGUCGUAGAGGGUAACAACCCCGUAGUCGAAACUUCGUUCUCUCUUGAAUGUAUCCUGAGUACGGCGGAACACGUGAAAUUCCGUCGGAAUCUGGGAGGACCAUCUCCCAAGGCUAAAUACUCCCUAGUGAUCGAUAGUGAACCAGUACCGUGAGGGAAAGGUGAAAAGCACCCCGGAAGGGGAGUGAAAGAGAUCCUGAAACCGUGUGCCUACAAAUAGUCAGAGCCCGUUAACGGGUGAUGGCGUGCCUUUUGUAGAAUGAACCGGCGAGUUACGAUCCCGUGCGAGGUUAAGCUGAAGAGGCGGAGCCGCAGCGAAAGCGAGUCUGAAUAGGGCGUUUAGUACGUGGUCGUAGACCCGAAACCAGGUGAUCUACCCAUGUCCAGGGUGAAGUUCAGGUAACACUGAAUGGAGGCCCGAACCCACGCACGUUGAAAAGUGCGGGGAUGAGGUGUGGGUAGCGGAGAAAUUCCAAUCGAACCUGGAGAUAGCUGGUUCUCCCCGAAAUAGCUUUAGGGCUAGCCUUAAGUGUAAGAGUCUUGGAGGUAGAGCACUGAUUGGACUAGGGGUCCUCAUCGGAUUACCGAAUUCAGUCAAACUCCGAAUGCCAAUGACUUAUCCUUAGGAGUCAGACUGCGAGUGAUAAGAUCCGUAGUCAAAAGGGAAACAGCCCAGACCGCCAGCUAAGGUCCCAAAGUGUGUAUUAAGUGGAAAAGGAUGUGGAGUUGCUUAGACAACUAGGAUGUUGGCUUAGAAGCAGCCACCAUUUAAAGAGUGCGUAAUAGCUCACUAGUCGAGUGACUCUGCGCCGAAAAUGUACCGGGGCUAAAUACACCACCGAAGCUGCGGAUUGAUACCAAUGGUAUCAGUGGUAGGGGAGCGUUCUAAGGACAGUGAAGUCAGACCGGAAGGACUGGUGGAGUGCUUAGAAGUGAGAAUGCCGGUAUGAGUAGCGAAAGACGGGUGAGAAUCCCGUCCACCGAAUGCCUAAGGUUUCCUGAGGAAGGCUCGUCCGCUCAGGGUUAGUCAGGACCUAAGCCGAGGCCGACAGGCGUAGGCGAUGGAUAACAGGUUGAUAUUCCUGUACCACCUCUUUAUCGUUUGAGCAAUGGAGGGACGCAGAAGGAUAGAAGAAGCGUGCGAUUGGUUGUGCACGUCCAAGCAGUUAGGCUGAUAAGUAGGCAAAUCCGCUUAUCGUGAAGGCUGAGCUGUGAUGGGGAAGCUCCUUAUGGAGUGAAGUCUUUGAUUCCCCGCUGCCAAGAAAAGCUUCUAGCGAGAUAAAAGGUGCCUGUACCGCAAACCGACACAGGUAGGCGAGGAGAGAAUCCUAAGGUGUGCGAGAGAACUCUGGUUAAGGAACUCGGCAAAAUGACCCCGUAACUUCGGGAGAAGGGGUGCUUUCUUAACGGAAAGCCGCAGUGAAUAGGCCCAAGCGACUGUUUAGCAAAAACACAGCUCUCUGCGAAGCCGUAAGGCGAAGUAUAGGGGGUGACACCUGCCCGGUGCUGGAAGGUUAAGGAGAGGGGUUAGCGUAAGCGAAGCUCUGAACUGAAGCCCCAGUAAACGGCGGCCGUAACUAUAACGGUCCUAAGGUAGCGAAAUUCCUUGUCGGGUAAGUUCCGACCCGCACGAAAGGUGUAACGAUUUGGGCACUGUCUCAACCAGAGACUCGGUGAAAUUAUAGUACCUGUGAAGAUGCAGGUUACCCGCGACAGGACGGAAAGACCCCGUGGAGCUUUACUGUAGCCUGAUAUUGAAUUUUGGUACAGUUUGUACAGGAUAGGCGGGAGCCUUUGAAACCGGAGCGCUAGCUUCGGUGGAGGCGCUGGUGGGAUACCGCCCUGACUGUAUUGAAAUUCUAACCUACGGGUCUUAUCGACCCGGGAGACAGUGUCAGGUGGGCAGUUUGACUGGGGCGGUCGCCUCCUAAAGUGUAACGGAGGCGCCCAAAGGUUCCCUCAGAAUGGUUGGAAAUCAUUCGUAGAGUGCAAAGGCAUAAGGGAGCUUGACUGCGAGACCUACAAGUCGAGCAGGGACGAAAGUCGGGCUUAGUGAUCCGGUGGUUCCGCAUGGAAGGGCCAUCGCUCAACGGAUAAAAGCUACCCCGGGGAUAACAGGCUUAUCUCCCCCAAGAGUCCACAUCGACGGGGAGGUUUGGCACCUCGAUGUCGGCUCAUCGCAUCCUGGGGCUGUAGUCGGUCCCAAGGGUUGGGCUGUUCGCCCAUUAAAGCGGUACGCGAGCUGGGUUCAGAACGUCGUGAGACAGUUCGGUCCCUAUCCGUCGUGGGCGUAGGAAAUUUGAGAGGAGCUGUCCUUAGUACGAGAGGACCGGGAUGGACGCACCGCUGGUGUACCAGUUGUUCUGCCAAGGGCAUAGCUGGGUAGCUAUGUGCGGAAGGGAUAAGUGCUGAAAGCAUCUAAGCAUGAAGCCCCCCUCAAGAUGAGAUUUCCCAUAGCGUAAGCUAGUAAGAUCCCUGAAAGAUGAUCAGGUUGAUAGGUUCGAGGUGGAAGCAUGGUGACAUGUGGAGCUGACGAAUACUAAUAGAUCGAGGACUUAACCAUAUAA